Molecule: transfer RNA, 73 nt
Filed under: Camelus bactrianus (Bactrian camel)
Lineage: Eukaryota; Metazoa; Chordata; Mammalia; Artiodactyla; Camelidae
Also listed under: 2 other names
Rfam family: tRNA
About the family: Transfer RNA (tRNA) molecules are approximately 80 nucleotides in length. Their secondary structure includes four short double-helical elements and three loops (D, anti-codon, and T loops). Further hydrogen bonds mediate the characteristic L-shaped molecular structure. tRNAs have two regions of fundamental functional importance: the anti-codon, which is responsible for specific mRNA codon recognition, and the 3' end, to which the tRNAs corresponding amino acid is attached (by aminoacyl-tRNA synthetases). tRNAs cope with the degeneracy of the genetic code in two manners: having more than one tRNA (with a specific anti-codon) for a particular amino acid; and 'wobble' base-pairing, i.e. permitting non-standard base-pairing at the 3rd anti-codon position.
Source: Rfam by way of RNAcentral
GAGGGUGUAGCUCAAGUGGUAGAGCACCGGCUUAGCAUGCAUGAGGUCCUGGGUUCAAUCCCCAGGACCUCCU